RNAcentral lists this ribosomal RNA (789 nucleotides) under uncultured bacterium. RNAcentral's name for it is "bacterial SSU rRNA". It matches the Rfam family "Bacterial small subunit ribosomal RNA", at positions 8 to 796 of the family's 1533-position model. The record is from RNAcentral.
AGAGUUUGAUCAUGGCUCAGGAUGAACGCUGGCGGCGUGCCUAACACAUGCAAGUCGAGCGUGAACUCUCGGAACGAAACUUCGGUCUAGGGAAGAGGGGGAAAGCGGCGGACGGGUGAGUAACGCGUAGGUAACCUGCCCCAUACAUAGGGAUAGCCUAGGGAAACCUGGAUUAAUACCUAAUAAUGCGAAGAGAUCACAUGGUCACUUCGCCAAAGAUUCAUCGGUAUGGGAUGGACCUGCGUCUGAUUAGCUAGUUGGUGGGGUAACGGCCUACCAAGGCAACGAUCAGUAGCCGACCUGAGAGGGUAAUCGGCCACAUUGGAACUGAGACACGGUCCAAACUCCUACGGGAGGCAGCAGUGGGGAAUAUUGCACAAUGGGCGAAAGCCUGAUGCAGCAACGCCGCGUGAGUGAAGAAGGUCUUCGGAUCGUAAAACUCUGUCCUUAGGGAAGAAACAAAUGACGGUACCUAAGGAGGAAGCCCCGGCUAACUACGUGCCAGCAGCCGCGGUAAUACGUAGGGGGCAAGCGUUAUCCGGAAUUAUUGGGCGUAAAGAGUACGUAGGUGGUUUUGUAAGCGCAGGGUGAAAGGCCGAGGCUCAACUUCGGUUAGCCUUGCGAACUGCAAGACUUGAGUGCAGGAGAGGAAAGUGGAAUUCCUAGUGUAGCGGUGAAAUGCGUAGAUAUUAGGAGGAACAUCAGUGGCGAAGGCGACUUUCUGGACUGUAACUGACACUGAGGUACGAAAGCGUGGGGAGCAAACAGGAUUAGAUACCCUGGUAGUCC